This 72-nucleotide transfer RNA is filed under the name Muntiacus reevesi (Reeves' muntjac). It matches the Rfam family "tRNA". From Rfam's summary of the family: Transfer RNA (tRNA) molecules are approximately 80 nucleotides in length. Lineage: Eukaryota; Metazoa; Chordata; Mammalia; Artiodactyla; Cervidae. The record is from Rfam by way of RNAcentral. RNAcentral also lists the same sequence under 4 other names.
UCCCUGGUGGCUCAGACGGUAAAGAAUCUGCCUGCAAUGCAGGAAACCUGGGUUCGAUCCCUGGGUUGGGAA